This 150-nucleotide non-coding RNA is filed under the name Cajanus cajan (pigeon pea). RNAcentral describes it as "Bacterial large subunit ribosomal RNA". It matches the Rfam family "Bacterial large subunit ribosomal RNA", at positions 1854 to 2002 of the family's 2925-position model. The record is from Rfam by way of RNAcentral. Lineage: Eukaryota; Viridiplantae; Streptophyta; Magnoliopsida; Fabales; Fabaceae.
GACGCUUGCCCAGUGCCGGAAGGUCAAGGAAGUUGGUGACCUGAUGAUAGGGGAGCCGACGACGAAGCCCCGGUGAACGGCGACCGUAACUAUAACGGUCCUAAGGUAGCGAAAUUCCUUGUCGGGUAAGUUUAUUGUGUAUUAACGUUG